AUUUCCUCUCAGACUAUGUUGGGGGGGUGCAAGGAUAGAUGAUUCGUUUUAGGUGUUAAGCGUCAUCCAACAUGGGGCAUCGGUCAGAAUGCCAGGUAGAGGAAUGAUGAGGAGACGAUGGGCUUGGUUAUCGAAUUGUAUUCUUAGAGGUAAUUCAAACAGGUAGCAUUAAUAUUCACAUUCUCAGGAAAGCGAGAUGAGUUGACAUUUCUCACAGUCUGAGAGGGUAGAGGAAACAAGAAAUAGAAAUAAGGCACCAUAAAAUACAAAUAACAAUCUGUAAUUACGUUAACAGUUAAGUGCCUGUAAUGCACUACAAACAUAAGUCGCUGGCGAUUUCUAGUAGUAAACACAGCCUAGUCACGGAGCAGACAUUAUACAGUCUCAUCUAGAGGUCAAAGGAGGUAACGCAAAUGUGACAUUCAUCUCCCGAGGACAGAAUUUCCCCGAAAUAUUCUCAAAUGGUAUCGAGGCAGGUAGUGCUAAGCGCUAAUAAUAGGCAACUUAGAAACAUAUGGAUUUACAGACAAGUAAACGAAACGGAGAUGUGAGGAAAUGCCACCACCAUUACUUAAGAACUAAAGGGAACUUCGCUUGAAGAAGCUGAGACUGUGCAGAUAACGGUGGCUGAUGAAGUGGCUGAUGAAGUCAUCAACAGUACCAUGAGCAUCUGUCUGGAGGGGUCUGAAGAGAAACCUCUGGUGAGCUCCAACCCUGACACAGGUAAAGUCAUCAGAGAGCUCCUGGACAUCCUAUUUGAUGAUGCCCUGUCAGCGAGUCUCUAGCUUCUGGGUGAGUAAAAGAAAUAAACAUAUUACAAUGAUAAUGAAAGAGCUGGGAAACUGACCGUAUUCAUUUAUAUUAAGGCAGAAAAUGAGCUUAUGGACACCAACCUGGGUAAGUAAAGGAAAUCACCAGAGAGUGAGAUGAUAACACAUUUAGUGAGUAUAAAAGCUUUAAUCUAAAUUCCUUCAAGAUCAUCUAGUGAGCUCCAACAAAGAUGCAGCUGAUGCCAUCAGAGAGCUCCUGGAGAUCAUGCUUCAUGAUGUUUUGUCAGCGAGUUUCCAGCCUCUGGGUGAGUGGAAGACACAAAAUAACAUAUUUGAAAUAUUGAAAAAUGACAAACUGGAAAACCAACUAAUGAAAGCAGAAAAUGAGACACUGAUGAAUGAUGGAUGAUGAAGCUCAGUCAGAAGCUAUUGAUGAGCUGAUUUUACCAUUAAUCUGCCUUAAUUAAUACAAAUUCUGCUCGCUGUAUUGUAAAAGAAGACGAUCAGGUGCUGAAGAUGACAGUGAAGCCAAUGACGAGCAAACGCACCCUGACCUGGAGAAGUCAGAGCCCACCAAUAUCCAUCCUUUGGCAGGAGAUGAGUGGCCGAAGCUGAAGGACCAUGUAGCUGAGGAACAUCUGGACCUCACAGAGGCUUCAGACAGUGAUGACCAGCCUCUGGACAUAAAGAAAAGCCACCCUCCUGAGGAAGAAGACACCAACAAGAGAAAAACUAGGAGAGGAACAAGAGGAAAAGGGCGGAAAAUCAUCUAUAAUAAAGAAAAACAUCCAAAUGACAAACUAGAUGGACAGAGAGGUUCAAGAGGUUCUUCUGGACAGACAAACAACGUAAAGAACUGCGGUCAUGAAAACAGGGAGAUGGUCCGUCCCAAACGGGUGCAGUUAGAGUGAGAUGGUGAAUCUGAUGAUGUCCUACAUACGUUCACAGUCUGGAAGACAGGAUGGACUGAGAGAACAGCAACAGAAGGACUCCACUGGUGGCAGGACUACAUAAAGAACCGUGGUGUUGAUCACAGUUGGGCGCAGGAAGAGAUGGGUGACGGAUAUGAUGCAGUGCAGUUCAACCUCACAUACUGGAGGACAGGAUUUUUUCUGAAUGGCACAAAUGAACAUCUAAGACCGGGGAGAUGGACAGAGAGAGAGAGAGACAAAGAACCAGAGAGAGACAGAGAACCCAAGAGAGACAGAGAACCUGAAGAAAAAAUUAUGC
Molecule: long non-coding RNA, 2000 nt
Organism: Pygocentrus nattereri (red-bellied piranha)
Lineage: Eukaryota; Metazoa; Chordata; Actinopteri; Characiformes; Serrasalmidae
Exons: 6
Source: RefSeq, a predicted model, not a curated record